GGGCCUAUAGCUCAGCUGGUUUAGAGCGCACGCCUGAUAAGCGUGAGGUCGAUGGUUCAUGUCCAUUUAGGCCCA
Molecule: transfer RNA, 75 nt
Filed under: Limosilactobacillus reuteri
Lineage: Bacteria; Bacillati; Bacillota; Bacilli; Lactobacillales; Lactobacillaceae
Description: tRNA-Ile
Rfam family: tRNA
About the family: Transfer RNA (tRNA) molecules are approximately 80 nucleotides in length.
Source: RNAcentral